Molecule: ribosomal RNA, 253 nt
Filed under: uncultured bacterium
Lineage: Bacteria
Description: partial 16S ribosomal RNA
Rfam family: Bacterial small subunit ribosomal RNA
Source: RNAcentral
UACAGAGGGGGCGAGCGUUGUUCGGAAUUACUGGGCGUAAAGGGCGCGUAGGCGGCCCGCUAAGUCGAACGUGAAAUCCCCAGGCUCAACCUGGGAACUGCGUCCGAUACUGGCAGGCUUGAAUCCGGGAGAGGGAUGUGGAAUUCCAGGUGUAGCGGUGAAAUGCGUAGAUAUCAGGAGGAACACCGGUGGCGAAGGCGGGUCUCUGGGCCGAUACUGACGCUGAGGAGCGAAAGCGUGGGGAGCGAACAGG